AUGCCCACUCCUGCAGCACUUAUACUAAAAUUGGGACUAUACAGAGAUGAAUAUGGCCUGUGCUCAAGAAUGACAUCCAAAUUUGUGAAGCAGUCCAUAUUUUU
Tupaia belangeri (northern tree shrew) is the source of this 104-nucleotide small nuclear RNA. Lineage: Eukaryota; Metazoa; Chordata; Mammalia; Scandentia; Tupaiidae. The record is from Ensembl.